GCCCCCGUACCUCACCGGGAUAGAGGGUCCGCCUCCUAAGCGGCAGUUCGUUCGAGUCCGUGGGCG
RNAcentral lists this transfer RNA (66 nucleotides) under Dysosmobacter sp. Marseille-Q4140. RNAcentral's name for it is "tRNA-Arg". The record is from RNAcentral. Lineage: Bacteria; Bacillati; Bacillota; Clostridia; Eubacteriales; Oscillospiraceae.